This 187-nucleotide ribosomal RNA is filed under the name uncultured rumen bacterium. RNAcentral describes it as "partial 16S ribosomal RNA". It matches the Rfam family "Bacterial small subunit ribosomal RNA", at positions 340 to 524 of the family's 1533-position model. The record is from RNAcentral.
UACGGGAGGCAGCAGUGAGGAAUAUUGGUCAAUGGACGAGAGUCUGAACCAGCCAAGUAGCGUGCAGGAUGACGGCCCUAUGGGUUGUAAACUGCUUUUAUACGGGGAUAAAGUGAGGGACGUGUCCCUUUUUGUAGGUACCGUAUGAAUAAGGACCGGCUAAUUCCGUGCCAGCAGCCGCGGUAAU